CAUGUGCUGCUGCGAGUUGCUAACAGCAGGAUAUCAAGCUGGAGACAGUCUAAGACAUUAGUUCUAUCUGUGUGUAGUGAUCACUUAAUGUGUUUGUGUCGUUCCUUUUUUUAAAAAAGUAUUUGUAUAAGUUCGAGAAUAUUUGUGAACUCGUGAACUCUGAAACGCCCAAGAUGGGGUCGUCGUUCCGUAGCGAGGAGAUGACUAUGGCGCAGUUGUUUCUCCCAACUGAUUCUGCUUAUUUUUGCAUGUCUGAACUAGGCGAGCUCGGUCAAGUGCAGAUCUGCGAUUUGAACCCGGACACUAAUGCUUUUCAACGACGAUUCGUUAACGAGAUACGCCGUUGCAAUGAAAUGGAAAGGCAGCUGCAUUAUAUUUUGCGACAGAUUAAAAUGAAAUCUCUGCAUAUUCCGCAGUUGAGCGCCAAAGGCUAUCCGAAGGCACCUCAUCCAAAAGAUAUGAUUGACAUGGAGGCAACCUUUACAAAAAUAGAAGACGAGUUAAAAGAAGUUAACGUCAAUGGCGAGGAACUGAAAAGGACAUACCUCGAACUUUCUGAGGCCAAGAUGAUCGUGGAGCUAACGCAGGAGUUCUUCGAGCAGCGAGAACGUUCGGCGAGUGUGGUGCAACGUGAUGACGGCUUUCAACUGAUGCCGACAGACAAUAUUAAUCUAUUCUUCCUGGCGGGAGUAGUUCCCCGUGAAAAGCUCAUGUCUUUAGAGACGCUGCUGUGGCGCGUCUGCAGGGGCAACAUAUUUUUGCGUCAGGAGCCGAUUUCACUACCCCCGGACGAUCCCCACUCUGGUAACAGGCAGCUGAAGAACAUUGUCUUAAUCUUCUUCCAGGGCGAACAACUGAAAUUGAAGAUUAAAAAAAUCAUGCAGGCGUUUCACGCCACGAUAUAUCCGAUCUCGGAUACGCCGAAAGGUCGUCAUCAGUUACUAGAUAACAUUCGUGGCCGGCUGGAAGAUUUGAAGAAAGUUCGCCAGGAAGCUGAUGAUCACAGAGAUCGCGUUCUUAGAGCUGCCUCCCGAAAAAUCAACUCGUGGUUUGUCCAGGUUCGUAAAAUGAAAGCGACGUUCCACACGCUCGAUUGUUGUAAUAUGGACAUCACAUCAAAAUGUCUUCUAGCUGAAGCAUGGAUGCCGGUUGCAGAUAUUGCGCUCGUACAGAACGCUCUGAAUCGUGGCCAGGUGGCGUCGGGUAGUAACGUGUAUCCUAUUUUGCAACAAGUCGAUACAAAUCAGGUCCCACCAACCUACAAUCGUACGAACAAAUUUACCAAUGCGUUUCAAAAUAUUAUUGAUGCGUACGGCAUUGCGACCUACCAGGAAAUUAAUCCAACUCCAUUUACCAUCGUCACGUUUCCUUUUUUGUUCGCUGUGAUGUUCGGCGACGCGGGCCAUGGCCUUCUUAUGUUCCUUUUUGCGUUCUGGAUGGUCCUCUGGGAACGAUCGCUCAGCGAACAGUGGAAUGACAACGAGAUCUGGAAUAUGUUCUUCGGCGGUCGGUACAUUAUCAUUUUGAUGGGCUUUUUCUCAAUGUAUACUGGCUUAAUCUAUAACGACGUGUUCUCAAAAUCGAUGAACAUUUUCGGAUCCAGUUGGACGGUUCCUAAAAACCAGACCAAUCACAAUGAGGGUAUCACGAUGCUUGAUCCAAACGACGACUAUAGCAGAUAUCCCUACAUCUUUGGAGUGGAUCCUAUAUGGCAAGUAGCAACGAAUAAGAUCCCAUUCACGAACUCAUUCAAGAUGAAAACCUCGGUCGUCUUUGGUGUGCUUCAGAUGCUAUUUGGAGUGCUCCUAUCACUUGGCAAUCACCUAUUUCAAAAGGACAGACUCUCGAUUCUGGCUGAAUUCGUUCCCCAGUUAUUGUUUCUCUGCCUCAUAUUUGGGUACCUGGUCAUUGCUAUAUUCCUCAAAUGGGCGUUCUUCUACCGCAAUGCGAGCUGCGCUCCCUCUCUGCUCUUAAUGCUUAUCAACAUGUUUAUAUUGCAGUAUAAACCGUACAAUAAGAAUGAUGAAGCCACCUGUGCGAACUGGCCAUUGUAUGAAGGUCAAGAGGCGAUACAAACAACUUUUAUUAUCGUUGCUAUGAUAUGCGUACCGUGGAUGUUGUUUGUAAAGCCAUUAGUCUUGAAGAGUCGCGCCGAACCUGCCAAGGCAAUGCGCGCCUCGUCAACAGCGCCACUUAACGCUGAAGAACUCGGGGAGGCUAAGCACGCCCAGACCGAGGAGAACAGCCAUGGCAACCAUGAGCCGGCUGCAGCCGAUAACGGUAGAGGUCAAGGGUGUCCCGCUACCAGCGAAUUCGAUUUUGGUGAAUGUUUAAUUAACCAGGUUAUUCAUACGAUUGAGUACGUCCUUGGUUCGGUCUCUCAUACUGCCUCGUAUCUCCGACUUUGGGCGUUGUCGUUGGCCCACUCUCAGCUGUCGGAGGUAUUAUGGAGUAUGGUGUUCAAAGUAGGACUGAACACGACGGACUGGUUUGGUUUUAUCGCAGUGUUUUUGGUCUUUUCGUUCUGGGCAUUUCUGACAACUGCCGUGCUGCUCUUAAUGGAAGGCCUCUCAGCUUUUCUACACGCUCUUCGUCUUCACUGGGUGGAGUUCCAGUCGAAAUUUUAUCACGGCGAGGGACACCUAUUUUUACCGUUCAAAUUCAGCGAGAUGCUCGAUUCAGCUGAACGAGCCGACCGUGCCCUAACCGCUUAAAAUGUUUACGAGCGGAUGCCGAUUGUGUCUAGUAGACUGCUAAUAUAUAUGACUAUACCCUGGGUACGUCUGUGGCUCCAUGCUUUGUAACGGCGUGUGGCUUAAACUUUGUGCGAAUAAUGAGAAUUGUGAUAAGAAGAAAAAUGGAUCCGAAAUCACCUUUCGUGUACAGGAAGCAGUUCGCGUGGUAACGCAACUCGUAAAAGGAAAAACGAUGGUAUAGGCAAAACACUUCCAUGUGGGUUUAGAUCCUCACAGUAUUCCCACUAUGGAUCACCGAAAGUUAGACAAUAGGAUCGAAAAUGGACUACAUAUUUUCACUUGUGACCAAUUUGACAGAUAGUGACGUAAAAACUAGGCUUAUAUGUUAUCAGAUGUGGUCAGUUCUACCUGUUGUGAACAGGUAUUGGUCUGUCGGUGAGAAUGAAACUAAUCUGAAUCAAAAGAAAAAGGGCCAAAACAUCAUGGCUCUCAAAACGUUUUCAGAGUGCCACAUCUGAAAGAAGAUUUAUGGGAAUAAUUCAGUCUGUAUCAUCAGAAGCUAGUGUAUAUUGCUUAAACAAUGCCUGGAGCUUUAACAAUAUGGGAUUCUUUCGUCAUUAACAAAUUUAUAGACUUGCUAAGAACAGUACUUACCAAACCAUAUACAGAGUACAAUAAAAAUAGAACCAGUGCAGUAACAUAUAUAUGGAGAUGACCAGCGAUCAAAUGGCGCGACUCAAGCAGGUCUGGAAAAACGAAGAGAUCUGUAUACGUUGAUAUACACGUUUUUGAGAAGCGGCACUUACGGUCCAUCAACUAGGAUGUGAAGAAGUACAAAUCUCACCCUACUUUGUACACAAGGUUGAGAAAACAGCUUAUGUGAUACAAGUAAUAAAUACGACGAUGUCAAACAGAUACUAGGGAUAAGUGAGAAAUAUAUACAAUAAGCACAAAUGGAGAAAGGACGCGGGUGAAAAUCAAGACAAUCAUUCCGAGCUAUAUCUGAGUUGAGCGACAAGUUUCGACCGAUGUCUAUUGAACUCUUAGUCAAGUCGGCAGAGUAACAUAGGGUUUAUAGGGGUUAUAAAUAUACAACAAGUGUAAUGUCUCAAGAUAUUAUACCUUAAACAAACGUGUGAUAAAAAACACACUGUUGUAUCCAUUUCUACGCGUAGAUUAUAAGUCUAAAGACUGCGUAAGUAAACAAUGUAUUACACUAGAAAUACCAACUGCCUCGUCUUCCAUUCAUACUUACGAUGGCUUUGUACUAGAGGCAUAGUGGUCGAAGCGUUUCCUUCUGUUAUGGCUGAGCGUAGAUCUCGAAAAUAACACAAACUAGGUUUAGGAUCUGCCCGCUCCGAAUAAAUCAAUGUUUGGUACAGCUAAUAGUUGUCUCUAUCUUUUAAUAAAGAUGUUUGUGUAGAUAAUUCGUUAAACUCUUUAUUUCUACAGGAGACUACGCAUUUACGAACGAACCUUUGGCGUUGUAUCAGCAGAUCAACAGAUACUUUGGGUGAAGUUUUGUAGGCUAUGGUUAUUUGUAUUGGGUUGCUCAUACUCUGAUUUAUUAAUCACACCAUCGAUUUACCACCUUGAUUCAUCCACGUAUGAAGCUUGUUUUAAAUUUUGAAAUCUAUCUUUGAAUGUAUAGUUGGGGUUAGUAAACUGAGCAUUUUCCGUGGAUUUAUACGAUGAUUUUUGAUUGCUAAAAGAUGAAAUAUUGCAAAUUUGUAUAAAAGUAACAUUUUCUCGGUUUUUAAUAAAGUGUUACUCAGGAAUACACGUAACGUGAUUACGUAGCGCCUAGUUUGAUUUGACGAUAUGUUUGAUGUUUUUUUGAAGUUAACUCAGUGAAAAUAACCGCUAGUAAAAAGAAAUUAACACGCAGCUUGUAAAGAAAUGGUUAUGUAAUAAAUAUUUGUCUUGCAUUAGAGUGGUUUAAUGUUUAAGUAAAGAUAUAAGAACUAUACCGGUUGUAAGUACCAACAUUAAAUAUCGGUGGCUCUGUAAUUAACGUUGAAAAUUGCCUAGAUUUUGACAGAUUUACUAUGAAUGAUAAUCCAUUUGACAGACGAUCCAUUGAGGUCAAAUUCCAUCGUUAGCUGAAUUUCGGAAGACGCAUUCAGAACUCUGUGGAACACUAGCUGACUUUCAAGAGCUUCAGUGCAAGGAUUCGAUCACGUGGCGAUCAGCCUGUUCAUACGUAGCACACAGACGAAAGCUAACAACCAAAUGCAAUAAACUGUAACAAAAUAGAGUCUGGUUAGGAGGCUAGCUUGUUAAGAAUAAGUCAUUCGGCAAUUCUUUACGUAAAGACGUAGCCAGUAUGUUUUUAUAAUCUUCUUCGGCUACCAGAAUGAAAUUUUUGACAAGAUACACGUAAAGCUUUGUCAGGAACAUCUGAGUUAAAAAGAGGGUUUCAGUAUUUUGUAAAAGUUUCCAGUAUGCAUGGUCCUGAUUAGGCCCAAAUAGGGACCUGAGAAGAGUACUUACAACACGACCUGUUUUGGCCUAAAUAUAAGGGGUGCUUUAGUUACAGUUAUACCGACAGCUCGUUAAACAUUAACAAAA
RNA transcript from Varroa destructor (honeybee mite), 5267 nucleotides. It is a transcript of the gene named V-type proton ATPase 116 kDa subunit a 1-like, with no coding region annotated. Lineage: Eukaryota; Metazoa; Arthropoda; Arachnida; Mesostigmata; Varroidae. The record is from RefSeq and is a predicted model, not a curated record.